GGUUAAGUGACUAAGCGUACAUGGUGGAUGCCUUGGCAGUCAGAGGCGAUGAAGGACGUACUAACCUGCGAUAAGCCGUGAGCAGUCGGUAAGAGACAUUACGACUCACGGAUUUCCGAAUGGGGAAACCCACUYAGCAUAAGCURGGUAUCGCURCGUGAAUACAUAGCGUAGCGAGGCGAACCGGGAGAACUGAAACAUCUAAGUACCCCGAGGAAAAGAAAUCAACCGAGAUUCCCUCAGUAGCGGCGAGCGAACGGGGAUUAGCCCUUAAGCAUCUUGGAAGUUAGUGGAACGGUCCUGGAAAGGCCGGCGAUACAGGGUGAUAGCCCCGUACACGAAAACAACCUUGAUGUGAAAUCGAGUAGGGCGGGACACGUGACAUCCUGUCUGAAUAUGGGGGGACCAUCCUCCAAGGCUAAAUACUCCUGACUGACCGAUAGUGAACCAGUACCGUGAGGGAAAGGCGAAAAGAACCCCUGUGAGGGGAGUGAAAUAGAACCUGAAACCGUGUACGUACAAGCAGUGGGAGCCCUUCGGGGUGACUGCGUACCUUUUGUAUAAUGGGUCAGCGACUUACAUUUUGUAGCGAGGUUAACCGUAUAGGGGAGCCGUAGGGAAACCGAGUCUUAACUGGGCGUCUAGUUGCAAGGUGUAGACCCGAAACCGGGUGAUCUAGCCAUGGGCAGGUUGAAGGUUGAGUAACAUCAACUGGAGGACCGAACCCACUAACGUUGCAAAGUUAGGGGAUGACCUGUGGCUGGGGGUGAAAGGCCAAUCAAACUCGGAGAUAGCUGGUUCUCCCCGAAAGCUAUUUAGGUAGCGCCUCGGACGAAUACUACUGGGGGUAGAGCACUGUUUGGGCUAGGGGGUCAUCCCGACUUACCAACCCCAUGCAAACUCCGAAUACCAGUAAGUAAUAUCCGGGAGACACACGGCGGGUGCUAACGUCCGUCGUGAA
RNAcentral lists this ribosomal RNA (961 nucleotides) under Stenotrophomonas maltophilia. RNAcentral describes it as "partial 23S ribosomal RNA". The record is from RNAcentral. Lineage: Bacteria; Pseudomonadati; Pseudomonadota; Gammaproteobacteria; Lysobacterales; Lysobacteraceae.